UUAACUAUUAUAUAAGUUACUCAGACGACGCCAAAUAAUUCAGAGUUUGGGAUUCUCUGGCAAGCUCACACCAGCAGGUGCCGGUGGCCUAAGGCGGCUUGCCAAAGCAACAAAGGUACAGUUUUCACGGGUGGGAGAUCUACCUAGAAGGCAUGAACUCUGUAAUGAUCCUUCCGCAGGUUCACCUACGGAAA
Molecule: unclassified non-coding RNA, 194 nt
Filed under: uncultured fungus
Lineage: Eukaryota; Fungi
Description: sequence contains ITS1
Source: RNAcentral